GACGAACGCUGGCGGCGUGCUUAACACAUGCAAGUCGAACGGUGAAGCGCCUUCCUUUUUGGUGGGUGUGGAUGAGUGGCGAACGGGUGAGUAACACGUGAGUAGCCUGCCCCCUUCUUCUGGAUAACCGCAUGAAAGUGUGGCUAAUACGGGAUAUUCUGGGUCUGUCGCAUGAUGGGUCUGGGAAAGAUAUUGUUUCGGUGGGGGAUGGGCUCGCGGCCUAUCAGCUUGUUGGUGGGGUGAUGGCCUACCAAGGCGGUGACGGGUAGCCGGCCUGAGAGGGUGGACGGUCACACGGGGACUGAGACACGGCCCAGACUCCUACGGGAGGCAGCAGUGGGGAAUAUUGCACAAUGGGCGCAAGCCUGAUGCAGCGACGCCGCGUGAGGGAUGGAGGCCUUCGGGUUGUGAACCUCUUUCGCCAGUGAAGCAGGCCUGCCUCGUUUGUGGGUGGGUUGACGGUAGCUGGAUAAGAAGCGCCGGCUAACUACGUG
This 494-nucleotide ribosomal RNA is filed under the name uncultured bacterium. RNAcentral describes it as "partial 16S ribosomal RNA". It matches the Rfam family "Bacterial small subunit ribosomal RNA", at positions 28 to 507 of the family's 1533-position model. The record is from RNAcentral.